GGACUACUGGGGUUUCUAAUCCUGUUUGCUCCCCUAGCUUUCGCAGCUCAGCGUCAGUAAUGGACCAGGUGCCUGCUUUCGCCAUAGGUGUUCCUCCCGAUCUCUACGCAUUUCACCGCUACACCGGGAAUUCCAGCACCCUCUCCCACACUCAAGUCCGACAGUAUCUACUGACCUCUCUCGGUUAAGCCGAGAGCUUUCACAGUAGACUUACCGAACCGCCUACCUGCCCUUUACGCCUAGUAAUUCCGAGUAACGCUUGCCACCUUCGUCUUACCGCGGCUGCUGGCAC
Molecule: ribosomal RNA, 292 nt
Filed under: uncultured bacterium
Lineage: Bacteria
Description: partial 16S ribosomal RNA
Source: RNAcentral